AAUUUUGGACACUGGGGGCAACCCUGAUCCAGCCACCCCGCGUGUGCGAUGAACGCCUUCGGGUUGAAAAGCACUUUUGGCAGGGAAAACAAGGCGCGGGUUAAUACCCUGUGCCGCCGACGGUACUUGCCGAACAAGCACCGGCUCACUGCGUGCCAGCAGCCGCGGUAAUACGUAGGGUGCAAGCGUUAAUCGGAAUUACUGGGCGUAAAGCGUGCGUCGGCGGUUUGGCAAGAAAGGUGUGAAAUCCCAGGGCUUAACCGUGGAACGGCACUUUUAACUGCCAGGCUAGAGUAUGUAAGAGGGGGGUAGAAUUCCGCGUGUAGCAGUGAAAUGCGUAGAGAUACGGAGGAAUACCGAUGGCGAAGGCAGCCCCCUGGGAUAAUACUGACGCUCAGGCACGAAAGCGUGGGGAGCAAACA
RNAcentral lists this ribosomal RNA (422 nucleotides) under uncultured bacterium. RNAcentral describes it as "partial 16S ribosomal RNA". It matches the Rfam family "Bacterial small subunit ribosomal RNA", at positions 360 to 774 of the family's 1533-position model. The record is from RNAcentral.